GCAAAGGCUCUUUUAAGAGCCACCUACAUUGCUAUCAAAAGAGCAG
Molecule: regulatory RNA element, 46 nt
Organism: Scleropages formosus (Asian bonytongue)
Lineage: Eukaryota; Metazoa; Chordata; Actinopteri; Osteoglossiformes; Osteoglossidae
Rfam family: Histone 3' UTR stem-loop
About the family: The mRNAs of metazoan histone genes lack a poly-A tail.
Source: Rfam